RNAcentral lists this ribosomal RNA (429 nucleotides) under uncultured Gammaproteobacteria bacterium. Its description in RNAcentral is "bacterial SSU rRNA". It matches the Rfam family "Bacterial small subunit ribosomal RNA", at positions 355 to 776 of the family's 1533-position model. Lineage: Bacteria; Pseudomonadati; Pseudomonadota; Gammaproteobacteria. The record is from RNAcentral.
UUAGGAAUCUUGGGCAAUGGGGGCAACCCUGACCCAGCCAUGCCGCGUGUGUGAAGAAGGCCUUCGGGUUGUAAAGCACUUUCAAGGGUGAAGAAAGGCCUGAGGCGAAUACCCUCGGGUGUUGACGUUAGCUCUAGAAGAAGUACCGGCUAACUCCGUGCCAGCAGCCGCGGUAAUACGGAGGGUACGAACGUUAAUCGGAAUUACUGGGCGUAAAGCGCACGUAGGCGGUUCGUUAAGUGGGAUGUGAAAUCCCCGGGCUCAACCUGGGAACUGCAUUCCAGACUGGCGAACUCGAGUCUGGUAGAGGGGGGUGGAAUUUCCUGUGUAGCGGUGAAAUGCGUAGAUAUAGGAAGGAACAUCAGUGGCGAAGGCGGCCCCCUGGACUAAGACUGACGCUGAGGUGCGAAAGCGUGGGGAGCAAACAGG